UUUAUGGAGAGUUUGAUCUUGGCUCAGGACGAACGCUGGCGGCGUGCCUAAUACAUGCAAGUCGAGCGCGGGAAGCAAGCUGAUCCUCUUCGGAGGUGACGCUUGUGGAACGAGCGGCGGACGGGUGAGUAACACGUGGGCAACCUGCCUGUAAGACUGGGAUAACCCCGGGAAACCGGGGCUAAUACCGGAUAAUACUUUUCAUCACCUGAUGGAAAGUUGAAAGGUGGCUUUUAGCUACCACUUACAGAUGGGCCCGCGGCGCAUUAGCUAGUUGGUGAGGUAACGGCUCACCAAGGCAACGAUGCGUAGCCGACCUGAGAGGGUGAUCGGCCACACUGGG
This 343-nucleotide ribosomal RNA is filed under the name Virgibacillus halodenitrificans. RNAcentral describes it as "bacterial SSU rRNA". It matches the Rfam family "Bacterial small subunit ribosomal RNA", at positions 1 to 317 of the family's 1533-position model. The record is from RNAcentral. Lineage: Bacteria; Bacillati; Bacillota; Bacilli; Caryophanales; Bacillaceae.